This 497-nucleotide ribosomal RNA is filed under the name uncultured bacterium. RNAcentral's name for it is "partial 16S ribosomal RNA". It matches the Rfam family "Bacterial small subunit ribosomal RNA", at positions 28 to 507 of the family's 1533-position model. The record is from RNAcentral.
GAUGAACGCUGGCGGCGUGCCUAAUACAUGCAAGUCGAGCGAACAGACGAGGAGCUUGCUCCUCUUACGUUAGCGGCGGACGGGUGAGUAACACGUGGAUAACCUACCUAUAAGACUGGGAUAACUUCGGGAAACCGGAGCUAAUACCGGAUAAUAUAUUGAACCGCAUGGUUCAAUAGUGAAAGACGGUUUUGCUGUCACUUAUAGAUGGAUCCGCGCCGCAUUAGCUAGUUGGUAAGGUAACGGCUUACCAAGGCAACGAUGCGUAGCCGACCUGAGAGGGUGAUCGGUCACACUGGAACUGAGACACGGUCCAGACUCCUACGGGAGGCAGCAGUAGGGAAUAUUCCGCAAUGGGCGAAAGCCUGACGGAGCAACGCCGCGUGAGUGAUGAAGGUCUUCGGAUCGUAAAACUCUGUUAGUAGGGAAGAACAAAUGUGUAAGUAACUAUGCACGUCUUGACGGUACCUAAACAGAAAGCAACGGCUAACUACGUG